Molecule: ribosomal RNA, 487 nt
Filed under: uncultured bacterium
Lineage: Bacteria
Description: bacterial SSU rRNA
Rfam family: Bacterial small subunit ribosomal RNA
Source: RNAcentral
GACGAACGCUGGCGGCGUGCCUAAUACAUGCAAGUUGAGCGCUGAAGGUUGGUACUUGUACCGACUGGAUGAGCAGCGAACGGGUGAGUAACGCGUGGGGAAUCUGCCUUUGAGCGGGGGACAACAUUUGGAAACGAAUGCUAAUACCGCAUAAAAACUUUAAACACAAGUUUUAAGUUUGAAAGAUGCAAUUGCAUCACUCAAAGAUGAUCCCGCGUUGUAUUAGCUAGUUGGUGAGGUAAAGGCUCACCAAGGCGAUGAUACAUAGCCGACCUGAGAGGGUGAUCGGCCACAUUGGGACUGAGACACGGCCCAAACUCCUACGGGAGGCAGCAGUAGGGAAUCUUCGGCAAUGGACGAAAGUCUGACCGAGCAACGCCGCGUGAGUGAAGAAGGUUUUCGGAUCGUAAAACUCUGUUGGUAGAGAAGAACGUUGGUGAGAGUGGAAAGCUCAUCAAGUGACGGUAACUACCCAGAAAGGGACGGC